Molecule: long non-coding RNA, 659 nt
Filed under: Glycine max (soybean)
Lineage: Eukaryota; Viridiplantae; Streptophyta; Magnoliopsida; Fabales; Fabaceae
Description: long non-coding RNA (GMAX_LNC000293)
Source: RNAcentral
AAAAAAAAAAAAAAACAGCGGUUUUGUUUAGUCUUUGUAAAAUUGUUAAGAUGCUAGCAGAAACAUGCAUUUAGGAUAGUAAACAUUUCAUGAAUACUUUCAUUUAAUCACAGUAUUAUAUAUAAUAAGUUUGUUCUCUCUUUUUACUCAAAAAAAAAGUUUGUUCACUCUUAUUAUAGAAAAAGUUUGUUCACUCUUAUUAUUACUAUCUUACACAAGUAAUAUGAAGGAUGUUUUAUGAUAUGAUUGAUUGACAAUAUGAAUUUUUUGACACUAAUACUGCAUACGUAUGCAUGAACCUCGAUUUGUUAAAUAACACACUAGCCAACGUCAUAUAUUGAGAUCCAAUUUUAUUUCACUUGAAAAAGUACGUGGUAUCAGACAUUGUCCCCGAUAUUAAAAAAAACUUUAAUAUGCUGAAAUUUCUUAUAUUUUGCAGCCAGGGAUUUUGGUUCCAGAGGCAUUGGGCUUAGGCAACUGGGUAAAGGCUCAGGAAUGGGCAGCAGUUCCUGGGGGCCAAGCAACCUACCUAGGCAAUCCAGUUCCAUGGGGCACCCUACCCACCAUUCUGGCCAUUGAAUUCCUUGCUAUUUCCUUUGUGGAGCACCAAAGGAGCAUGGAGAAGGACCCAGAGAAGAAGAAAUACCCUGGUGGUGCUU